CCUACGGGUGGCAGCAGUGGGGAAUAUUGCACAAUGGGGGAAACCCUGAUGCAGCGACGCCGCGUGGGUGAGGAAGUACUUCGGUAUGUAAAGCUCUAUCAGCAGGGAAGAAAAUGACGGUACCUGACUAAGAAGCCCCGGCUAACUACGUGCCAGCAGCCGCGGUAAUACGUAGGGGGCAAGCGUUAUCCGGAUUUACUGGGUGUAAAGGGAGCGUAGACGGCAUUGCAAGUCUGAUGUGAAAGGCUGGGGCUCAACCCCGGGACUGCAUUGGAAACUGGCAGGCUGGAGUGCAGGAGGGGCAAGCGGAAUUCCUAGUGUAGCGGUGAAAUGCGUAGAUAUUAGGAGGAACACCAGUGGCGAAGGCGGCUUGCUGGACGGUAACUGACGUUGAGGCUCGAAAGCGUGGGGAGCAAACAGGAUUAGAUACCCCGGUAGUC
This 440-nucleotide ribosomal RNA is filed under the name uncultured bacterium. Its description in RNAcentral is "partial 16S ribosomal RNA". It matches the Rfam family "Bacterial small subunit ribosomal RNA", at positions 338 to 795 of the family's 1533-position model. The record is from RNAcentral.